GGGAAUGUGACUCAGUGGUAGGGUGCUUGCCUUGCAUGCAUGAGGCCCUGGGUUUGAUUCCUCAGCACCA
This 70-nucleotide transfer RNA is filed under the name Dipodomys ordii (Ord's kangaroo rat). It matches the Rfam family "tRNA". Rfam says of the family: Transfer RNA (tRNA) molecules are approximately 80 nucleotides in length. Their secondary structure includes four short double-helical elements and three loops (D, anti-codon, and T loops). Further hydrogen bonds mediate the characteristic L-shaped molecular structure. tRNAs have two regions of fundamental functional importance: the anti-codon, which is responsible for specific mRNA codon recognition, and the 3' end, to which the tRNAs corresponding amino acid is attached (by aminoacyl-tRNA synthetases). tRNAs cope with the degeneracy of the genetic code in two manners: having more than one tRNA (with a specific anti-codon) for a particular amino acid; and 'wobble' base-pairing, i.e. permitting non-standard base-pairing at the 3rd anti-codon position. The record is from Rfam by way of RNAcentral. Lineage: Eukaryota; Metazoa; Chordata; Mammalia; Rodentia; Heteromyidae.